UAUCUAACUAAAUAAGAGAGAGAGAGAGAGAAAUCGUUUCCUCUUUAUUAUUCAGCGAGAAAAUUUACUUAUUAAAUAAAUUUGUUUUUAAACUGUUAUUGACACCUGAACGCCUCGAUAUAAACGAUAAGUUUACUGUUAUUCACCUGACACAAGAAUCUUGUAUAUUUAACAGUGUGCUAUUCUCAUUAUCAGUUAUUUACUAACGCACGCCCCUGCAUGGUGUUUAUUUGUUCGUCUUCCGGGGAUUUUUGAGGUUGAAGGGCAAGUUGCCGGUUGACGAUAAGCUUCUAACAGUCAGACAGUCUUGAACCACUUCGACCUCGUCCUGUAUUUUUGUUGUUGCAGGGGGGAACGGAGCGAGUGAGAAAGAGGGAGGGAUGCAAAAAAACUAGAAUGUUACUGAAUUAAAAUACAGAAAAAAAAUUAUAUUCCUAGCUACACCACUCUUUAAUCAAAUUGCGUACUAUCAUAUUAUUUAUUUGAUUUUUUUUUAAAGUAGAAGCAUGUAAAUGGGUUGCAUGUUUAACUGGAACACUUCAAGGAAACCCGAAUGCACAUGUACAACAACUGCAUACAGUUUUUUCCCCUCUCUUUCUCUCUCUCUCUCUCUUCCAUUUUGUUAUUUCGUAAUUCUCCCGUGUAAAAAUUCGGUUGUUUACCUAAAUCCCGAAAAAAUUGGAUCUCUUGUUUAUUUUGCAAAACACACCAUUCUAGACUGAAGUACGAUUCACCAAAACGUCUGAGUCAACUGAAACCAAAUAUGUAUUUACAUAUGCAAAGAGCGCACAGACAUAAUAAAUAAUGGAUUCUUUCUGACUUGUCAAAUUAAUACAACUAUUAAUUUAUUCAAAUAUAGUUAAACGUCCUUCUAAACUUAUCAAAGCAACUCUUAAAAACGAAUUUCUAGUGCGUUAAAAUAAGCAAAACAAAAAAAAAAAAAAACUCCUCUUUAUAAACUCUUCAUUCAUUGGUUACGAUUAUAUUACGUAUUGUUUAAUAAUUUUACCUAGAGGCGUGUUAUUGAACUGAAAUACAGUUAAUUAACAUCGUACUGUGUUAAUCGACUAUCUUAGUUUAAAAUUGAC
Molecule: long non-coding RNA, 1088 nt
Filed under: Androctonus crassicauda
Lineage: Eukaryota; Metazoa; Arthropoda; Arachnida; Scorpiones; Buthidae
Source: RNAcentral